Molecule: ribosomal RNA, 395 nt
Filed under: Rhizorhapis sp.
Lineage: Bacteria; Pseudomonadati; Pseudomonadota; Alphaproteobacteria; Sphingomonadales; Sphingomonadaceae
Description: bacterial SSU rRNA
Rfam family: Bacterial small subunit ribosomal RNA
Source: RNAcentral
GAACGAACGCUGGCGGCAUGCCUAACACAUGCAAGUCGAACGAGACCUUCGGGUCUAGUGGCGCACGGGUGCGUAACGCGUGGGAAUCUGCCCUUGGGUUCGGAAUAACAGUGAGAAAUUACUGCUAAUACCGGAUGAUGUCGAAAGACCAAAGAUUUAUCGCCCAGGGAUGAGCCCGCGUAGGAUUAGCUAGUUGGUGAGGUAAAGGCUCACCAAGGCGACGAUCCUUAGCUGGUCUGAGAGGAUGAUCAGCCACACUGGGACUGAGACACGGCCCAGACUCCUACGGGAGGCAGCAGUGGGGAAUAUUGGACAAUGGGCGAAAGCCUGAUCCAGCAAUGCCGCGUGAGUGAUGAAGGCCCUAGGGUUGUAAAGCUCUUUUACCCGGGAUGAUA